GACGAACGCUGGCGGCGUGCUUAACACAUGCAAGUCGAACGGACAGACAGAGAGCUUGCUCUCUUGAAGUUAGUGGCGAACGGGUGAGUAACGCGUAAUCAACCUGCCCUUCAGAGCGGGAUAACAACGGGAAACCGUUGCUAAUACCGCGUACGAUUCAUGAACGGCAUCGUUUAUGAAUGAAAGGUGGCCUCUAUGUAUAAGCUAUCGCUGAAGGAGGGGAUUGCGUCUGAUUAGCUAGUUGGAGGGGUAACGGCACACCAAGGCAAGGAUCAGUAGCCGGGCUGAGAGGAUGGACGGCCACAUGGGGACUGAGACACGGCCCAAACUCCUACGGGAGGCAGCAGUGGGGAAUCUUCCGCAAUGGACGAAAGUCUGACGGAGCAACGCCGCGUGAGUGAUGAAGGUCUUCGGAUUGUAAAGCUCUGUUAAUCGGGACGAAAGAGUUCUGCGUGAAUAAUGCAGAAAAGUGACGGUACCGGAAUAGAAAGCCACGGCUAACUACGUGCCAGCCGCCGCCGUAA
This 524-nucleotide ribosomal RNA is filed under the name uncultured bacterium. RNAcentral's name for it is "partial 16S ribosomal RNA". It matches the Rfam family "Bacterial small subunit ribosomal RNA", at positions 28 to 523 of the family's 1533-position model. The record is from RNAcentral.